CUUGCUACUAGUGUUCUGCAAGAAUCUAUCUAUAUGGAUGACCUGAUCAGCGGUGCUGACAGUCUUCAUGAAUUAAGUUGUCUUUUCGAACAAUUAACUUCUUUGCUAGAAACCCAUGGUUUCCUCCUCCACAAGUGGAACUGCAGUUCUUCAGAAUUUCUGUCUCAACACAAUUUAAAUCCCGUCUCUGAAGUCAGUCUUAACUUCACGGGAUCUGAUAAAGUCUUAGGCAUAUUCUGGGAUUCAGAACGCGACCACUUUUCGUUUAAAACUCCUAUCUUCAAAUUGGCUAAUGUUGUUACUAAACGUACUAUUCUCUCCUACAUUGCUACUUUGUAUGACCCGCUAGGAUGGUUAUCCCCUGUCCUUGUGAACGCUAAGCUCUUGAUACAGGAAAUAUGGUCCCAGAAAUUGGACUGGGAUCAACCCAUUGACUCACCCAUCAUUAUGAAAAAUUGGCAAAACCUCUUAUCGACAUUCAAAACUAUAGAAGAGGUCAAGGUACCUCGAUGCUUACUUUUACAAAAGAAAGUUGUUGAUGUUCAAUUAAUUAUUUUCACCGACGCAUCGGAAAAAAUAUACAGCACUUGUGUGUAUCUCAAAGCGACAUACUCAGACUUUUCUGUAUCGUCGCGGCUUAUCGCUUCUAAAAACAAAAUUUCUCCGCUAAAAAAUAAAUUCACCAUCCCCAAAUUGGAACUUUGUGGAAUAGUGUUGGGAGUCACUCUGGCUCAUAGACUUUUUCACAUCUUCAAGAAAAAUUUGAGUAUAUCUUCAUCUCAUCUCUUUGCUGACUCUACAAUUGCCUUGUCUUGGAUACUUUCUAAAAAACACAUUUGGAACAUUUUUGUACAAAACAGAAUUCAAAAGGUCAAUUCCUUGUUGGAAACUUUUCCUUGUGAUUUCCAUUUCGUCAGAAGUCACGAAAACAUCGCUGACCCCGCUUCCAGAGGGAUAAAUGUCUUUGAUAAUCCCCAGACCACCGAAGACUGGUUAUGCGGACCUAGCUUUAUUAGAGACAAUCCCAUCGAUUUUUCUCUUCAUCAAAUUCCUCAUUUUCAGGAUGAUCUUCCUGAAUUAAGGAAGUUAGUUGUCUCAAACAUAGCAACAAAUCACGAACUCAACGACACCUUUGAAAAUCUAUUCGCUAAAUCUUCUUCUUUUCGUAAAAUUCAAAGAAUUGUCGCUUAUCUUUUUAGAUUCAUCAGUAAUAUUAAAAAGAAAAUAAAUAACUCUCCACGAGAUACGGAUAUAUUGACGCCACCCGAAAUGGAGAUCGCUGAUCACGCGAUCAUCAGGUAUAUCCAAAGUAUCUACUUUAAAAAAGAGAUUCUUGAAUUGAAAAAUGCUAAACUCGUGACCAAUAAAGCCAUUCGUAAACUCAACCCCUUCCUACAACAUAAUGAUGGGCUGAUUCGUGUGGGAGGACGUCUCCGACACGCCCCCAUAUCGUAUAAUCAAAAACACCCCAUUCUACUUCCUUCUAAAUGUCGAGUUGUAGAACUAAUCUUGACUCAAGCUCAUCAUAAGUUAUUACAUUCAGGCGCGCAAACAGUACUUUCGUAUGUCAAAAUGAAGUACUGGCCAAUUGACGGAUUAAGACAGAUUAAACGCUUAAUUCGUAAGUGUGUAAACUGUUUCCGAUUCAUGACACCCAAUUCUGUUCAACAGAUGGCAGAUAUGCAUCCCGAUCGUGUACUCCCCACUAGACCCUUCCAAGUCGUCUCAGUGGACUAUGGGGGGUUCUUCUUAAUUAAGUCCUCACAUUUGAGGAAGGCACCGCUUUACAAAGCAUACGUAGCCUAUUUCAUUUGCAUGAGCACUAAAUGUGUUCAUAUCGAACUCGUCACAGGAUUAAGCGCAGAAGCCUAUAUUCUUACUCUGAAAAGGUUUAUUGCCAGAAGAUCCACGCCCAGUAUUAUUUGGAGCGACAAUGCCACAAAUUUCCAUGGGGCAAAAAAUGAAAUGCGCGAAUUCUAUGAUUUUUUCUUAAAUCAAAAUAAUUCGGAACAGAUUAAGGAAUUCUGUACUCAAAACUCCAUAACUUUCAAGAUGGGUGUUCCCCGCAACCCCCAUCAAUUCGGCCUCCAUGAGGUAGGAAUAAAGAGUGUGAAGUAUCACCUCUAUCGAAUUAUAGGAAAUUCCCACUUCACCUUUGAAGUGUUUAACACAGUAUUAUGCCAAAUCGAGGCUAUUCUAAAUUCGAGACCCAUCACUAGGAUGUCGUCUGACGCCAAUGACUUCGCUUUCCUAUCUCCAGCUCACUUCUUAGUUCAAAGAAGUUUAACCGCGCCCCCUGAACCAAGUGUUUCAGAGAUACCUGAAAAUAGGUUGAAUCUUUUUCAGCGUAUUAGUAAAAUUCAACAGCAAUUUUGGAAAUUGUGGAAAAAAGACUAUCUUUGCCUCCUGCAGCAAAGAAAUAAAUGGACCGACCCUACUGACCCUGUCAAGAUCGGGGAUUUGGUUCUGUUGAAGGAGGAUGGUACUCCUCCACUCUUAUGGCCAACUGCCAGGGUAAUAGAUGUAUUGCCUGGUAAGGAUGGUCUAGUUCGUACUGUCAAGAUUCACACUACUCACGGUGAUUUUCUUCGUGGUAUUACGAAAAUCGCUGUGAUUCCCCUGGAAGAUUAAAAUCUAUCCCUAGGGGGAAAACUUAUCGUUUUCCUCCAUUUUAUCGUUGUUACCCCUUGUGUAUAUAAACUCUAAUUUCUUCAAACAUUUCUUAUCGUUGUGCACAUCUUUGCCAAUCCCCUCUCUUCGAGGUGAUAUAGGCCAUCUCUCUCGCCUGUCGCCCCCGGCAAUAUGUACAAUAAAUAUAUUAUACACGGCUCACUAAAAUAAUUAGUUACGCCCCUGUACUACUGAUUACUUAAAAUUCAAGUAGUAUUUAUGUAACCUUUCUGGAAACUCCAGGUUAUUGUCGAGACUCGCAUUUGAACCCCUCGCCGGGGCAGAUCGUCAAAAGCUUCCUAACGAGAAUCAUCUCUAAUCUAUCGACGCUCCCGCUAUUCGUAAAAAGGCCGCAUUUUACCGGCUUUUUUUGCUAUCGUUUUAUACCGCUCAGAUAAUUCAAUCUGCUCAGUAUUAUCGACGAUGAUUUAUUUAGCGUAUUAGUGAGUGCCUUACAAAUGAACCAAAUGGAUUAUGGAAUUCAAUCAGAGCUCUGAUGUGACACGUCAUCAAGGAAUAAAACUGAAGAAGAAGAGGAAGAAGGUAUCGAAGCAGGUGCAGGGGAGGAUAAAAGGUCCAAAGGAUCUUCAGAAGGAGAUGGUACUACUGGUAGUUAUUCUAGUUUAGAAGACGACGAACCUGAAGCUGUAGAUCAGUUAGCAGCCCUUGCAGCUCGAUACCAAAUUGACAACGUCGACCUUGGAAACGGAAAUAAAAUAUAUAACACUCAACUG
This 3404-nucleotide unclassified non-coding RNA is filed under the name Diabrotica virgifera virgifera (western corn rootworm). RNAcentral describes it as "dentin sialophosphoprotein". Lineage: Eukaryota; Metazoa; Arthropoda; Insecta; Coleoptera; Chrysomelidae. The record is from RNAcentral.